GACGAACGCUGGCGGCGGGCUUAACACAUGCAAGUCGAACGGAAAGGCCCUGCUUUUGUGGGGUGCUCGAGUGGCGAACGGGUGAGUAACACGUGAGUAACCUGCCCUUGACUUUGGGAUAACUUCAGGAAACUGGGGCUAAUACCGUAUAGGAGCUCCUGCUGCAUGGUGGGGGGUGGAAAGUUUCGGCGGUUGGGGCUGGACUCGCGGCUUAUCAGCUUGUUGGUGGGGUAGUGGCUUACCAAGGCUUUGACGGGUAGCCGGCCUGGGAGGGUGACCGGCCACAUUGGGACUGAGAUACGGACCAGACUCCUACGGGAGGCAGCAGUGGGGAAUAUUGCACAAUGGGCGGAAGCCUGAUGAAGAAACGCCGCGUGCGGGAUGACGGCCUUCGGGUUGUAAACCGCUUUAGCCUGUGACGAAGCGUGAGUGACGGUAAUGGGUAAAGAAGCACCGGCUAACUACGUG
This 468-nucleotide ribosomal RNA is filed under the name uncultured bacterium. RNAcentral's name for it is "partial 16S ribosomal RNA". It matches the Rfam family "Bacterial small subunit ribosomal RNA", at positions 28 to 507 of the family's 1533-position model. The record is from RNAcentral.